GUGGGGAAUAUUGGACAAUGGGCGAAAGCCUGAUCCAGCCAUGCCGCGUGUGUGAAGAAGGUCUUCGGAUUGUAAAGCACUUUAAGUUGGGAGGAAGGGCAGUAAGUUAAUACCUUGCUGUUUUGACGUUACCAACAGAAUAAGCACCGGCUAACUUCGUGCCAGCAGCCGCGGUAAUACGAAGGGUGCAAGCGUUAAUCGGAAUUACUGGGCGUAAAGCGCGCGUAGGUGGUUUUGUAAGUUGGAGGUGAAAUCCCCGGGCUCAACCUGGGAACUGCCUCCAAAACUGCAUGACUAGAGUACGGUAGAGGGUAGUGGAAUUUCCUGUGUAGCGGUGAAAUGCGUAGAUAUAGGAAGGAACACCAGUGGCGAAGGCGACUACCUGGACUGAUACUGACACUGAGGUGCGAAAGCGUGGGGAGCAAACAGGAUUAGAACCCCUGUAGUCC
RNAcentral lists this ribosomal RNA (449 nucleotides) under uncultured bacterium. RNAcentral's name for it is "bacterial SSU rRNA". It matches the Rfam family "Bacterial small subunit ribosomal RNA", at positions 354 to 796 of the family's 1533-position model. The record is from RNAcentral.